AUGGGAGCUUGCUCCCAUUUCUCAGCGGCGGACGGGUGAGUAACACGUGGGCAACCUGCCCUACAGACUGGGAUAACUCCGGGAAACCGGAGCUAAUACCGGGUAAUACAUAGCAUCGCAUGAUGCAACGUUGAAAGUUGGCCUUUGGCUAACACUGUAGGAUGGGCCCGCGGCGCAUUAGCUAGUUGGUAAGGUAACGGCUUACCAAGGCCACGAUGCGUAGCCGACCUGAGAGGGUGAUCGGCCACACUGGGACUGAGACACGGCCCAGACUCCUACGGGAGGCAGCAGUAGGGAAUCUUCCGCAAUGGACGAAAGUCUGACGGAGCAACGCCGCGUGAGUGACGAAGGCCUUCGGGUCGUAAAGCUCUGUUGUUAGGGAAGAACAAGUACCGUUCGAAUAGGGCGGUACCUUGACGGUACCUAACCAGAAAGCCACGGCUAACUACGUGCCAGCAGCCGCGGUAAUACGUAGGUGGCAAGCGUUGUCCGGAAUUAUUGGGCGUAAAGCGCGCGCAGGCGGUCUCUUAAGUCUGAUGUGAAAGCCCACGGCUCAACCGUGGAGGGCCAUUGGAAACUGGGGGACUUGAGUGCAGAAGAGGAGAGUGGAAUUCCACGUGUAGCGGUGAAAUGCGUAGAUAUGUGGAGGAACACCAGUGGCGAAGGCGGCUCUCUGGUCUGUAACUGACGCUGAGGCGCGAAAGCGUGGGGAGCGAACAGGAUUAGAUACCCUGGUAGUCCACGCCGUACACGAUGAGUGCUAGGUGUUGGGGGGGUUCCACCCUCAGUGAUGAAGUUAACACAUUAAGCACUCC
RNAcentral lists this ribosomal RNA (815 nucleotides) under Bacillus sp. (in: firmicutes). RNAcentral describes it as "bacterial SSU rRNA". It matches the Rfam family "Bacterial small subunit ribosomal RNA", at positions 72 to 870 of the family's 1533-position model. Lineage: Bacteria; Bacillati; Bacillota; Bacilli; Caryophanales; Bacillaceae. The record is from RNAcentral.